AUUGAACGCUGGCGGAAUGCUUUACACAUGCAAGUCGAACGGCAGCACGGACUUCGGUCUGGUGGCGAGUGGCGAACGGGUGAGUAAUGUAUCGGAACGUGCCCAGUCGUGGGGGAUAACGUAGUGAAAAUUACGCUAAUACCGCAUACGAUCUAUGGAUGAAAGCGGGGGAUCGCAAGACCUCGCGCGAUUGGAGCGGCCGAUAUCAGAUUAGGUAGUUGGUGGGGUAAAGGCCCACCAAGCCAACGAUCUGUAGCUGGUCUGAGAGGACGAACAGCCACACGGGAACUGAGACACGGUCCAGACUCCUACGGGAGGAAGCAGUGGGGAAUUUUGGACAAUGGGCGAAAGCCUGAUCCAGCCAUUCCGCGUGCAGGAUGAAGGCCCUCGGGUUGUAAACUGCUUUUGUACAGAACGAAAAGGUUUCUACUAAUACUAGGAGCUCAUGACGGUACUGUAAGAAUAAGCAUCGGCUAACUACGUGCCAGCAGCCGCCGUAA
Molecule: ribosomal RNA, 500 nt
Filed under: uncultured bacterium
Lineage: Bacteria
Description: partial 16S ribosomal RNA
Rfam family: Bacterial small subunit ribosomal RNA
Source: RNAcentral